GGGGGCUGGAAAUUGGCAGGGUGAGAACUGGGGAAACUAGUUUGGGACGCAGCCCUCCUUGUCCCCCUUCUUCAUUCACCCCCUUGUUGAGGCCCUUGGCUUUUGCAUAAUACACCCUUUAAAAAAAUGUAUUUAAAGAGGCUGGUUCCUAUCCAUCCGACUCGAGGCAUCUCAGUGCAAGAGCAAAGCUAAGUCCUGCACACGCACCCCCCCUCCUCGUCCUCCUUCUCCCCCCAGGUUUUCCCGAAUGUAUCUACUCCGGUUACAACUAGACGCGGCCCCUCCCCCACCUGCCUCCCCCCUUCCUUCCCUCGAUCGUGGAGGGAGCGUUCUCUGUGCCUUCCCAAGUCCCCGUGGGGUCCUUC
This 365-nucleotide long non-coding RNA is filed under the name Pan troglodytes (chimpanzee). RNAcentral's name for it is "long non-coding RNA NONPTRT003676". Lineage: Eukaryota; Metazoa; Chordata; Mammalia; Primates; Hominidae. The record is from RNAcentral.